Molecule: long non-coding RNA, 599 nt
Organism: Gambusia affinis (western mosquitofish)
Lineage: Eukaryota; Metazoa; Chordata; Actinopteri; Cyprinodontiformes; Poeciliidae
Exons: 3
Source: RefSeq, a predicted model, not a curated record
AGGAAAAAAAGAAUAAAUAAAAAUAAAAAUUCUGAAGUUACAUCUCCGUCCAGUUGAUUGCGGUAAUGCACAAAGUGUGUAAACUGCCAUAAAAUCCAAUAGAAGUAGAAGAAAAAGAAGAAGAAGAAGAAGAAGCACUUUUGCCGCGUGCUGGAGGAGAAAAUCACCUGCGUCAGGUGUGCAGGAGGAGACACACCUAAAAUAAGAAGGAGCAGCAAGAAGCCAACAGAAAUGUCUGGAGUUUGAUUCAAGUUAGCGGUUUGCACAGAGGAGCUCCCAUCGCCAGCUAACCUGGACCGCUCUGUGGCAGCGGAUACAACCAGAGAAAAUGGCAGGAACACCAGGAGAGGUCAAAUCAAUACUUUCAGUACAUUGGAGGAGGAGAAAAGGAAGCGGUGGUCAGCCUGGCAUCAUGAUGAGCUCAGCCUGGAUGAUGAUGGCGGAUGACUGCAGGUGAACGUGCAACUCAUCAGUUUCCAUUCGAGAAGUGAGCCGAGCUCAUCUGUGACAAAGCUUCAGCUUUUGCAGAAAGACGAUCUCUUUGGGGGAAAAAAAAGAGAGAAAAUCUCUGGAAUCAGUAAGUCUAAACGUGAGCAUCA